CCCGCUGAACUUAAGCAUAUCAAUAAGCGGAGGAAAAGAAACUAACAAGGAUUCCCCUAGUAACUGCGAGUGAAGCGGGAAAAGCUCAAAUUUAAAAUCUGGCGGUCUCGCGGCCGUCCGAGUUGUAAUCUGGAGAAGCGUUUAUCCGCGUCGGACCGUGUACAAGUCUUCUGGAAGGGAGCGUCAUAGAGGGUGAGAAUCCCGUCUUUGACACGGACAACCGAUGCUUUUGUGAUGCGCUCUCGAAGAGUCGAGUUGUUUGGGAAUGCAGCUCAAAAUGGGUGGUAAAUUCCAUCUAAAGCUAAAUAUUGGCGAGAGACCGAUAGCGAACAAGUACCGUGAGGGAAAGAUGAAAAGAACUUUGGAAAGAGAGUUAAACAGUACGUGAAAUUGCUGAAAGGGAAACGCUUGAAGUCAGUCACGUUGGCCAGGGAUCAACCUUGCUUUUGCUUGGUGUACUUUCUGGUUGAUGGGUCAGCAUCAAUUUUGACCAUUGGAAAAAGGUCAAGGGAAUGUGGCAUCUUCGGAUGUGUUAUAGCCCUUGGUUGCAUACAAUGGUUGGGAUUGAGGAACUCAGCACGCCGCAAGGCCGGGUUUUUAACCACGUACGUGCUUAGGAUGCUGGCAAAAUGGCUUUAAUCGACCCGUCUUGAAACACGG
Molecule: ribosomal RNA, 660 nt
Filed under: uncultured fungus
Lineage: Eukaryota; Fungi
Description: eukaryotic LSU rRNA
Rfam family: Eukaryotic large subunit ribosomal RNA
Source: RNAcentral